Molecule: long non-coding RNA, 228 nt
Organism: Corapipo altera (White-ruffed manakin)
Lineage: Eukaryota; Metazoa; Chordata; Aves; Passeriformes; Pipridae
Exons: 3
Source: RefSeq, a predicted model, not a curated record
UAACAAUUUCAUUGUAAAUAAUCACAGAAUCAACUAGGUUGGAAAAGACCUCUGAGAUCAUUUAGGUCCAACCUAUGACCUAACACCACCAUGUCAACUAAACGAUGGCACUAAGUGCCAACUCCAGUCUUUUCUUGAACACCUCCAGGGACAGUGACUCCACCACCUCCCUGGUCUGCCCAUUCCACUGUCCUGUCACUCUUUCUGUGAAGAACUUCUUUCUAAUGU